CUACUUUGACUAGCGCCCGGCAAAGGAAUGAUUUUUUCCCAAAGCCGACUUCCUUUAUCGAGCGGCUCUCUCUG
This 74-nucleotide transfer RNA is filed under the name Nicotiana tabacum (common tobacco). RNAcentral describes it as "tRNA-Pro". The record is from RNAcentral. Lineage: Eukaryota; Viridiplantae; Streptophyta; Magnoliopsida; Solanales; Solanaceae.